GUGCUUCCUUCAGCAUCAUGUAUACUAAAAUUGGAAUGAUACAGAGAUUAGCAUGGCUCCUGCACAAGGAUGACAUGCAAAUUCAUGAAGCACUCUAUAUUUUC
This is a small nuclear RNA of Gorilla gorilla gorilla (western lowland gorilla), 104 nucleotides long. The record is from Ensembl. Lineage: Eukaryota; Metazoa; Chordata; Mammalia; Primates; Hominidae.